GAUGAACGCUGGCGGCGUGCCUAAUACAUGCGAGUCGAGCGAACAGACGAGGAGCUUGCUCCUCUGACGUUAGCGGCGGACGGGUGAGUAACACGUGGAUAACCUACCUAUAAGACUGGGAUAACUUCGGGAAACCGGAGCUAAUACCGGAUAAUAUAUUGAACCGCAUGGUUCAAUAGUGAAAGACGGUUUUGCUGUCACUUAUAGAUGGAUCCGCGCCGCAUUAGCUAGUUGGUAAGGUAACGGCUUACCAAGGCAACGAUGCGUAGCCGACCUGAGAGGGUGAUCGGCCACACUGGAACUGAGACACGGUCCAGACUCCUACGGGAGGCAGCAGUAGGGAAUCUUCCGCAAUGGGCGAAAGCCUGACGGAGCAACGCCGCGUGAGUGAUGAAGGUCUUCGGAUCGUAAAACUCUGUUAUUAGGGAAGAACAAAUGUGUAAGUAACUAUGCACGUCUUAACGGUACCUAAUCAGAAAGCCACGGCUAACUACGUG
This 497-nucleotide ribosomal RNA is filed under the name uncultured bacterium. Its description in RNAcentral is "partial 16S ribosomal RNA". It matches the Rfam family "Bacterial small subunit ribosomal RNA", at positions 28 to 507 of the family's 1533-position model. The record is from RNAcentral.